GACGAACGCUGGCGGCGUGCUUAACACAUGCAAGUCGAACGGAAAGGCCCUGCUUUUGCGGGGUGCUCGAGUGGCGAACGGGUGAGUAACACGUGAGUAACCUGCCCUUGACUUUGGGAUAACUUCAGGAAACUGGGGCUAAUACCGGAUAGGAUCUCCUGCUGCAUGGUGGGGGUUGGAAAGUUUCGGCGGUUGGGGAUGGACUCGCGGCUUAUCAGCUUGUUGGUGGGGUAGUGGCUUACCAAGGCUUUGACGGGUAGCCGGCCUGAGAGGGUGACCGGCCACAUUGGGACUGAGAUACGGCCCAGACUCCUACGGGAGGCAGCAGUGGGGAAUAUUGCACAAUGGGCGGAAGCCUGAUGCAGCAACGCCGCGUGCGGGAUGACGGCCUUCGGGUUGUAAACCGCUUUCGCCUGUGACGAAGCGUGAGUGACGGUAAUGGGUAAAGAAGCAACGGCUAACUACGUG
RNAcentral lists this ribosomal RNA (468 nucleotides) under uncultured bacterium. RNAcentral describes it as "partial 16S ribosomal RNA". It matches the Rfam family "Bacterial small subunit ribosomal RNA", at positions 28 to 507 of the family's 1533-position model. The record is from RNAcentral.